ACGACCUUACUUGAACAGGAUCUGUUCUAUAGGCUCGUACCAUUGUGUCCUUGAGUUCUAAGGAGACAAGAACCUAAACCUGGUUGAUGAAUCAUGACCGUGUAAUCAGAGCGUGAUUAACGGCGAUGAUGAUCUCUCUUGUAGAGUUUCAUCUGUGGCAGUAGAGGAUCGUUCUCGGAAAGUGUGAAACACUUGCUGAGAUGAUUACACGGUUGUCUGACAGGUU
Molecule: small nucleolar RNA, 226 nt
Filed under: Lupinus albus (white lupine)
Lineage: Eukaryota; Viridiplantae; Streptophyta; Magnoliopsida; Fabales; Fabaceae
Description: Plant small nucleolar RNA U3
Rfam family: Plant small nucleolar RNA U3
About the family: Small nucleolar RNAs (snoRNAs) are involved in the processing and modification of rRNA in the nucleolus. There are two main classes of snoRNAs: the box C/D class, and the box H/ACA class.
Source: Rfam by way of RNAcentral